RNAcentral lists this small RNA (28 nucleotides) under Bombyx mori (domestic silkworm). RNAcentral's name for it is "ovarian small RNA-25060". The record is from RNAcentral. Lineage: Eukaryota; Metazoa; Arthropoda; Insecta; Lepidoptera; Bombycidae.
UCACAUCCUUCAUUCUUUCAACCCUAGU